GAAAUUCUCACCUCCUUAAUUGGCACCUGAGUUGGAACAACACAAGCCCCAAUUCUUGAGAAUGGAGCCAAUUAGGAGAUGAAAUAUGAUCAGAACUUCAAGAUCAAAAGAAAGUUGGAUGAAGUUGUAGAUGAGACUGACAUUAAGGUUACAGUGUAAGCACCGCCUUUUACCACACAUGGCUACCACCUCGUAACAUUAUUAAAUAGUAGUUUCACAACACAGUUGAUUACCAGUCGAGAAAGAACGAGCAAAAGAAAACUCACUGGUCACAUAGCUUGGCCUGAUGAAAA
Molecule: unclassified non-coding RNA, 293 nt
Filed under: Hevea brasiliensis (rubber tree)
Lineage: Eukaryota; Viridiplantae; Streptophyta; Magnoliopsida; Malpighiales; Euphorbiaceae
Source: RNAcentral